RNAcentral lists this ribosomal RNA (253 nucleotides) under uncultured bacterium. Its description in RNAcentral is "partial 16S ribosomal RNA". It matches the Rfam family "Bacterial small subunit ribosomal RNA", at positions 524 to 776 of the family's 1533-position model. The record is from RNAcentral.
UACGUAGGCAGCGAGCGUUGUUCGGAAUUACUGGGCGUAAAGAGUGUGUAGGCGGUGCUCUAAGUUCGGUGUGAAAUCUCCCGGCUUAACUGGGAGGGUGCGCCGGAAACUGGAGUGCUCGAGCGUGGGAGAGGAAAGCGGAAUUCCUGGUGUAGCGGUGAAAUGCGUAGAGAUCGGAAAGAACACCAACGGCGAAAGCACUCUGCUGGGCCGACACUGACACUGAGAGACGAAAGCUAGGGGAGCGAAUGGG